AGAGCGGGAGCCCGGAGAUGGGCACUGAGACAAGGGCCCAGGCCCUACGGGGCGCAGCAGUCGCGAAAACUUUGCAAUACACGAAAGUGUGACAGGGCUAUCCCGAGUGCCAUCCGCUGAGGAAGGCUUUUACCCAGUCUAGAAAGCUGGGGGAAUAAGGAGAGGGCAAGUCUGGUGUCAGCCGCCGCGGUAAUACCAGCUCUCCGAGUGGUGUGGAUGUUUAUUGGGCCUAAAGCAUCCGUAGCUGGCUAAGUUAGUCCCCUGUUAAAUCCAGCGAAUUAAUCGUUGGAUCGCGGGGGAUACUGCUUGGCUAGGGGACGAGAGAGGCAGACGGUAUUUCCGGGGUAGGGGUGAAAUCCUAUAAUCCCGGGAAGACCACCAGUGGCGAAGGCUGUCUGCUAGAACGCGCCCGACGGUGAGGGAUGAAAGCUGGGGGAGCGAACCGGAUUAGAUACCCGGGUAGUCCCAGCUGUAAACGAUGCAGGCUAGGUGUUUGGACGGCCACGUGCCGUUCUAGUGCCGCAGGGAAGCUGUUAAGCCUGCCGCCUGGGGAGUACGAUCGCAAGAUUGAAACUUAAAGGAAUUGGCGGGGGAGCACCACAAGGGGUGAAGCUUGCGGUUUAAUUGGAGUCAACGCCGGG
RNAcentral lists this ribosomal RNA (641 nucleotides) under uncultured archaeon. RNAcentral describes it as "bacterial SSU rRNA". It matches the Rfam family "Archaeal small subunit ribosomal RNA", at positions 279 to 922 of the family's 1478-position model. The record is from RNAcentral.